Long non-coding RNA from Lathyrus oleraceus (garden pea), 1001 nucleotides. RefSeq lists it as uncharacterized. The transcript is spliced from 2 exons. Lineage: Eukaryota; Viridiplantae; Streptophyta; Magnoliopsida; Fabales; Fabaceae. The record is from RefSeq and is a predicted model, not a curated record.
GGAAAUCGGCUUCAGAUUAAAAAAAAAAUAGGAAAAAAACAAACGCGCACAAGAAAUUCACUUGAACAUCUCAUCUUCUUCUGGCCUGAAAGCACCUUCCUCCGCCGUGCCGGAGGUUUCCUUCGGCAGUGGCGGAGAGCUAAACCGUGAAUACAAUACACUAACUUAUUUGUCUUUUCCUACACUAAUCAAAUCCUAUAUCUAAUUUACCUAAUUCCUAUUUCAAAGCCUAAACCGAAGCAAAAUCAAUGAAGAACCUUAAUCACAAAAUGUUAAAUUAAAUGAUCAUCUCUUGGAAUCAGAGCCCAAGAGGUUGUGGCUUUGAUUCCCCAGUCCCUGUCUCACAUGCCCGUAACUGAAUUGAUGUGAAAGGAGGAAAAAGAAGCUUACGCUGCCGGUGAAGGUGAAGGUGACGAUGGCGAGAUUCUGGUAAGGUUCUUUGUUAUUACUAUUUCUUGUUUUCGAGUUUAGAAUCUUCUUCUUCUCAUUCUUCUAUGGAAUUAUGUUGUGUUUUCUUGCUCCGGUGUUCAAUUCACGAGUGAGGUUCGAGACUAAUGAAGCUAUAAUUCGAGCUUCUUUGGGAUGAAUGGAGGUGAAUGGUGGAUGAUUGAAUUCUGAUGGAAAUGGAAUAUGAGAGAGUGUCUGAAGUUGAUAAAUUAAUCAAUGAUGAACUUGGGUAUGCAAAAGUGGAUAUUUGAAUUGAACAAAGCCUAAGCAUGAAGACACAAGAGAACUCGGUGAAUGCAACAUUAAAAGUAAAAAGGAUCCUUGAAGAUUCAAAAAGAUGACUUGGUGGAGAAGCAAUGCAAGAUAUAGGGUUUAGGAUGGUAAAAAAAUAGUUAGUUGACGACGUUGAUCUAAAAGUCAAUAGUUGACCAAAAGUCAACUUAGGUGAAAAUGUAUUUUUUUGGUAUGGAGUGAUUUGUAAUAACUUUAUGAUGUAAUAGAUUGAUAUUGAAACAACAAUGAUCUUGUAUACACAAUGAACUUGGAUUUCCAUA